UCCCUACGGGACGCAGCAGUGAGGAAUAUUGGUCAAUGGGCUUACGCCUGAACCAGCCAAGUCGCGUGAGGGAAGACUGCCCUAUGGGUUGUAAACCUCUUUUGUCAGGGAGCAACGCCGGCUACGUGUAGCCGGACUGAGAGUACCCGGAGAAAAAGCAUCGGCUAACUCCGUGCCAGCAGCCGCGGUAAUACGGAGGAUGCGAGCGUUAUCCGGAUUUAUUGGGUUUAAAGGGUGCGUAGGCGGGCUGUUAAGUCAGCGGUCAAAUGUCGGGGCUCAACCCCGGCCUGCCGUUGAAACUGGCG
Molecule: ribosomal RNA, 305 nt
Filed under: uncultured bacterium
Lineage: Bacteria
Description: bacterial SSU rRNA
Rfam family: Bacterial small subunit ribosomal RNA
Source: RNAcentral